Molecule: small RNA, 711 nt
Filed under: Pan troglodytes (chimpanzee)
Lineage: Eukaryota; Metazoa; Chordata; Mammalia; Primates; Hominidae
Description: retained intron
Source: RNAcentral
GCCCAUACGCGUUAGGCCCCGCCCAUGCCCCUCUGAGCCCUGCCCCAGUACGCCAGGCCCCCCUCCCAACGACGCAGCCCGGUUCUGCAGCCGGUGAAGAAACGCGGCUGGCCCAAGGGCAAGAAGCGGAAGAAGAUUCUGCCGAAUGGGCCCAAGGCACCGGUCACGGGCUACGUGCGCUUCCUGAACGAGCGGCGCGAGCAGAUCCGCACGCGCCACCCGGAUCUGCCCUUUCCCGAGAUCACCAAGAUGCUGGGCGCCGAGUGGAGCAAGCUGCAGCCAACGGAAAAGCAGCGGUACCUGGAUGAGGCCGAGAGAGAGAAGCAGCAGUACAUGAAGGAGCUGCGGGCGUACCAGCAGUCUGAAGCCUAUAAGAUGUGCACGGAGAAGAUCCAGGAGAAGAAGAUCAAGAAAGGUGGGAGGGGUCGGGCGCGGUGGCUCACGCCUGUCAUCCCAGCACUUUGGGAGGCCGAGGCGGGUGUAUCACCUGAGGUCAGACCAGCCUGGCCAACAUAGUGAAACCCUCCCCCUCUACUAAAAAUACAAAAAUUACCUGGGCAUGGUGGCGGGUGCCUGUAAUCCCAGCUACUCGGGAGGCUGAGGCAGGAGAAUUGCUUGAACCCGGGAGGUGGAGGUUGCAGUAAGCCAAGAUUGCACCAUUGCACUCUAGCCGGGGCGACAGGGCGAGACUCCGUCUCAAAAAAAAAAAAA